GACGAACGCUGGCGGCAUGCCUAAUACAUGCAAGUCGAGCGAACAGAUGAAGUGCUUGCACUUCUGACGUUAGCGGCGAACGGGUGAGUAACACGUAAGGAAUCUACCUAUAAGCGGGGGAUAACAUUCGGAAACGGGUGCUAAUACCGCAUAAUAUCUUCUUCCGCAUGGAAGAAGAUUGAAAGACGGCUCUGCUGCCACUUAUAGAUGACCUUGCGGUGCAUUAGUUAGUUGGUGGGGUAAUGGCCUACCAAGACGAUGAUGCAUAGCCGACCUGAGAGGGUGGUCGGCCACAUUGGGACUGAGACACGGCCCAAACUCCUACGGGAGGCAGCAGUAGGGAAUCUUCCGCAAUGGGCGAAAGCCUGACGGAGCAAUGCCGCGUGAGUGAAGAAGGCCUUCGGGUCGUAAAACUCUGUUAUAAGAGAAGAACAAAUUGUAGAGUAACUGCUACAGUCUUGACGGUAUCUUAUCAGAAAGCCACGGCUAACUACGUGCCAGCAGCCGCCGUAA
RNAcentral lists this ribosomal RNA (513 nucleotides) under uncultured bacterium. RNAcentral describes it as "partial 16S ribosomal RNA". It matches the Rfam family "Bacterial small subunit ribosomal RNA", at positions 28 to 523 of the family's 1533-position model. The record is from RNAcentral.